RNAcentral lists this long non-coding RNA (638 nucleotides) under Podarcis muralis (Common wall lizard). RNAcentral's name for it is "lncRNA (ENSPMRG00000011465.1)". Lineage: Eukaryota; Metazoa; Chordata; Lepidosauria; Squamata; Lacertidae. The record is from RNAcentral.
UUACAUCUACAAGUGUUUCUCUUGUGCAAUAAAUCUCAAUCUCUAGUGACUAUGAAGCCUGCCUCAAUGUGUGAAGUGGAAAACUCAGACAAUGCCUGCUGGGCCCAACAUCAGCACACAGCAUACCCAAGAAGCUAUUGGGAUACACCUGCCACAGCACCUUGCUUCGACUCCCAUAACUACCCCACCUCAGCAUUGUGGUGUUUCACACCACUGCAACCACUGUGAUCUAGACUUUCCCAUUAUCAUCAUUACGUUUAUACGCCACCUUUCCUCCCAGGAGCUCAGGGUGGAGCACACAGUUCACUCCCUUCUCCGUUUUAUCCUCACAACAACCUUGUGAGGGAGAUUAGGCUGAGAGAGUGUGACUGCCCCAAGGUCACCUAGUGUCACGAGAACAAUUCUGUUCCUUUAAUACUCAAUCAACUGCUGAAGAUAUUUAGCAUGUAAGUCAUAUGACCUCAAUAAUGAUACUUAUCCUUUUUAUUUCACUUACCCUAAGUGCUCACAUGCAACCUCUACAGCAGCUUUAUAAGGUAGGUUUGGUUCAUUUCGCCAAUACAGUAUAACAGGAGGCGAGAAUGAGGGAGAUAACACUUGUCUAAGUGUCUAGAAAGCAUGAGUCUGACCAGAUUUCC